Long non-coding RNA from Canis lupus familiaris (dog), 1008 nucleotides. RefSeq lists it as uncharacterized. The record is from RefSeq and is a predicted model, not a curated record. NCBI's taxonomy places the organism in Eukaryota, Metazoa, Chordata, Mammalia, Carnivora, Canidae. The transcript is spliced from 2 exons.
CAACACCUGCCCUCUCCACUAAGUCACAGCUAGCCAGGGGCUGCUCACCCUGGCCUGUCAUUCUCUAGUGAGUAAUGGUUUCUGUGUUUCCCUUCUGUGACCCUUAAGACCUAGAGACACCCUAGGAAGACGGCUUGCAGUGCUAACUCACAGAACAGAAUUCUGGGAUGGGGAGACGGGAAGAGGUUCUGGAUACCGACUUCGAAGAUCUGGUGUCUGAAGCUCAGUGUUAAAGGGAAAAUUUGGACGCAAACAUCCAAGUACAGAGAAGAGAAUGGGAUGACACAGGGAGAGAAGACUGACAUCUACCAGCCAGGGCGGGAGGAUGCAACAGCCCCUCCCCCACAGCACUCAGAAGGAACCAGCCCUGCCCACACCUGAAUCUCAGACUCCCAGCCUCCAGAACAGUGAGAGAAUGUAUUUUUGUCGUGCCCACACCUGAAUCUCAGACUCCCAGCCUCCAGAACAGUGAGAGAAUGUACGUUUGUCGUGACAGCCUGAAAGCUGCCUGGUUUGUCUUACUUUGUUACAGCUUCCCUGUAGGCAGAUCCACACAGUAUUUUUGAAGAAGAGGGAAUUCAGAUUUGACAGUCACUUUCCUGAUACUUCUGCUGCCCCUUUCCCCAAAGCAAGACGCGUCCAUGUCGGGAGGCUUCAAAGAAGAAUGGGUUCUUUCACACAGAUUAGAACCUUGAGCUUUCUUAGCCUCUGGCAUUUCCUGGUCAAGGUGACUGUUCAUUUUGGAAAACAUGGUGGAAAGACUUCAAGAGAAGAAUGAUUUACAAAUCUUGAAGAUGGGUGUCAGUUAGCUUAAUAAAACUGAUGCAUUAAAGAGAGAAAAAUAAACGGGAGCAAACCGAGGCAACUACUUAGGAAAUUAAGGGUGGGAAAGGCUUCUUCAAAGACAGUGUCUAAACAGAUGAAAAGUAUGAAGAGGAAGUGAACGAUUUGAACACAGAAACAAUAUCCAUAUGACAGAAAAUAAAGUAAAACAUUAGGUUAAAAAGA